RNAcentral lists this ribosomal RNA (1501 nucleotides) under uncultured bacterium. Its description in RNAcentral is "bacterial SSU rRNA". It matches the Rfam family "Bacterial small subunit ribosomal RNA". The record is from RNAcentral.
AGAGUUUGAUCCUGGCUCAGGAUGAACGCUAGCGACAGGCUUAACACAUGCAAGUCGAGGGGCAGCGGGGUUGAGACUUCGGUCUUGACUGCCGGCGACCGGCGCACGGGUGAGUAACACGUAUGCAACCUGCCCAUAGCAGGGGGAUAACCCGGAGAAAUCCGGACUAAUACCGCGUAACACCUUUAGAAGACAUCUUCCUAAGGUUAAAGGUAGCAAUACCGGCUAUGGAUGGGCAUGCGGCGCAUUAGCUAGUUGGCGGGGUAACGGCCCACCAAGGCGACGAUGCGUAGGGGUUCUGAGAGGAAGGUCCCCCACACUGGUACUGAGACACGGACCAGACUCCUACGGGAGGCAGCAGUGAGGAAUAUUGGUCAAUGGGCGAGAGCCUGAACCAGCCAAGUCGCGUGAGGGAAGACGGUCCUAAGGAUUGUAAACCUCUUUUGUCGGGGAGCAAAAGGGCAGUGAUGUGCCCGUUGAGAGUACCCGAAGAAAAAGCAUCGGCUAACUCCGUGCCAGCAGCCGCGGUAAUACGGAGGAUGCGAGCGUUAUCCGGAUUUAUUGGGUUUAAAGGGUGCGUAGGCCGAAGAUUAAGUCAGUGGUAAAAUUGCGUGGCUCAACCACGUAUCGCCAUUGAAACUGGUUUUCUUGAGUGGGCGAGAAGUAUGCGGAAUGCGUGGUGUAGCGGUGAAAUGCAUAGAUAUCACGCAGAACUCCGAUUGCGAAGGCAGCAUACCGGCGCCCAACUGACGCUGAAGCACGAAAGCGUGGGUAUCGAACAGGAUUAGAUACCCUGGUAGUCCACGCAGUAAACGAUGAAUGCUAAUUGUUCGGGGAGAAUGAUCCCUGAGUGAUACAGUGAAAACGUUAAGCAUUCCACCUGGGGAGUACGCCGGCAACGGUGAAACUCAAAGGAAUUGACGGGGGCCCGCACAAGCGGAGGAACAUGUGGUUUAAUUCGAUGAUACGCGAGGAACCUUACCCGGGCUCAAACGACAGUGGAAUUAUGAUGAAAGUUGUAAGUCCUUCGGGACCGCUGUCGAGGUGCUGCAUGGUUGUCGUCAGCUCGUGCCGUGAGGUGUCGGCUUAAGUGCCAUAACGAGCGCAACCCCUACGGGCAGUUGCUAACAGGUAAAGCUGAGGACUCUGCCAGGACUGCCGGCGCAAGCUGUGAGGAAGGCGGGGAUGACGUCAAAUCAGCACGGCCCUUACGUCCGGGGCGACACACGUGUUACAAUGGCAGGUACAGCGGGAAGCCAUAUGGCGACAUAGAGCAGAACCCGAAAACCUGUCUCAGUUCGGAUUGGAGUCUGCAACUCGACUCCAUGAAGCUGGAUUCGCUAGUAAUCGCGCAUCAGCCAUGGCGCGGUGAAUACGUUCCCGGGCCUUGUACACACCGCCCGUCAAGCCAUGGAAGCCGGGAGUGCCUGAAGUGCGUGACCGUAACAGGAGCGCCCUAGGGUAAAACUGGUGACUGGGGCUAAGUCGUAACAAGGUAACC